RNAcentral lists this transfer RNA (79 nucleotides) under Streptomyces sp. ADI96-15. RNAcentral describes it as "tRNA-Trp". The record is from RNAcentral. Lineage: Bacteria; Bacillati; Actinomycetota; Actinomycetes; Kitasatosporales; Streptomycetaceae.
UCACCAGCUCGCCCGUGCCGGCCCGGGCCUCGCCCGGUUCCAGGCCGCGCACGGCCUGUUCGACCCGGGCCGGGUCGGC